UAGAAGUUGCCUCAUUUAUCCCCUUGGAUGCUUUUUCUCAUCCUCUCACUGUGCAUUUCUGUGCACCAGCAAAAUUGUUCAUGUAAUUAGGGUACUGAAGAGAUUGGAUACCUGAUCCAGAUCAAAUAGCAUGACAGGAAAAUUAGUUCUAACUCAGGUCAUUCCCCCAGUGAAAUUUUAAAAAAUCCCAAAGGUUCUUUAUCUAAUAUGGCAUGACAAGAUUUUUCUAGGAACAGACUGAAGCUCAGGCUUCAGGUUACACAUCCUGUGUUUCCCAUUUAUUGCAAAUGAAUGGUGGGUAUAACACCAGCUGUCUGGGGUGGGGCAGGGCACUGCCUCAGCCAGAACAACCUGGCCUGCCCCACCUCUCACCAAGUGCACAUAAGCAGGCAUUCCAAACACUCCAAAAAUGGCUAGAGACACUAAACUUACCCAGUUUCUGACGCAACAGGAACUUAGGAUAUCAUCCAUGCCAAAGCUUUUGCUGCUUACAGCAGAAUAGGAACUUGCAUAGUGGCAUAACUUGGAGACUCCAGCAACUGCAAUAUCCAGAGUAAUUUGUCUUAAACCUCUUCUUGUGAUUUAGAAAUGUUAUUCUCCAAAUUAGUACUGCCACUAAAAAGACCACACACCACUCCCCUCUCUUCUCCAAUGGAUGUCACAAAAGGCAAAGAAUACAAGAAUCAUCUCAGCAAUAAAAAAAUACUGGACUGCUAUACCCGCCAAGUUACUAAACUGUAAGGAAUGCCCUUCUCCUGGGAAGCAAGAGAGUUCUUUUCCACAUCAAAUAACUGCAGGAUCUUGGCCAUGCCCUCUUCCAGCUAUUGCAAAAGGUUUACAGCACUCCAAGCUCUGUAUCUCUAACAUUGGUGACGCUUCUUGUGCUGAAAAUAGAUUUAAGGACUGAAGGCCCCCAAAUGCACUGAAUUCCAGGGUGUGAUCUUAAUGACUAUUUAUUCUGACAGUCUAAUUAAAAUAAAAAUAAGCUAUUUUUCAACAAAGAAAUACAUAACCAUUAAAUUCACCUUAUUCUCCAGACCAACAUUUCUGUAUUACAAAAAAUCCCAGCAGAGCCCUUUGAUAUUCAGAAAUUAUUAGUCCAGCUGCAGACAGCUGCACCCCACAAAUCUACUCAACAUUUAGCACUGGCACAGGCUGCAUAAACUAGAUGAGGAGCUUCACAACUCACUGCAAGCCAAGCUUUAGCCAGCAGAGAUUCAGUAGUAGCCCCAAUGAGAGAGCAGAUGGACAAUGAGGGCUCUGAGCCUUCAUUAGCAUUGCUUAAGCCCAAAGACACUUUUAGACAGCUGCACCUGACCUGCCUACCCUUUUCUAUAUGAAAUCUACUCACGUCCCUCGUGUUUGCUGCCUGGACAAGGAUUAUCUCUUCUCUCGUGGGGACUGUGUGAUAUUCUUCAUUCCCACCCGACUUAUGCUCUUCAUCUAUUCAGUCAAGUCUAGUUAUUUUCCUUGUCUGUACCCUCUAGAAGACAGGGAAGAGGAGAGAUUCCAAUGGGAAAGACAGCCAUUGCUUAGAGUCCCUGAAGCCAGGGUUUUCCAGAAAAGUCGAUUCCAUUCCAUGGGUUGAAAUUGAGAGGUUGUAUAAUAGAAAUAUGAGGAUAUCCUCUACCGUCUGUCUUUUGAGGAAACACACCAUUUUCAAAUUAUUUGGGCAGUAAAAUCUGAAAAAUAUUUUCUGUCAAAAAUCUGGAAUUUUAAAACUGUAGUUUUAGAAGCAUUUAUGCCUGCUUGAAUGUGAAAAACAUAGUCAAAGGGACCACAGAAGACACGUUUGUUGACUUGUUUACAGGCAUUAUCCUGUAAAAUAUUAAUGAAGGCCACUUUCCUGAGUUUUUUGACAACUAGAGUAAAGGAGAAAUAUUCUGGUUGAGGAUUUUCACAGAAAAUGCAAUGGGAAGUUCUCUUCACCUACAUGGAAACACUCUGAACCAAGUAACUGGAUUAUGAUUCAGUCAUGAAGAGAAAACAAAGACUUACAAUGGUUUUUUGAUACUGCCUCAGUAGUAAAGCACUUCAGUGACCUAAUAGUCCAAUCUUACAGUGCCUGUAGAAUAUCAGGAGACAUCUGCUGUCUGAGGAAUGAACACAUAACAGUAGAUGUUGGAUGAUCAUGCUUUAACAUUAUCGGUUUUCUAUUCCACUUGUCUUUUUUACAUUUUGCAGUAAUAUAUCACAGGCUCAUGUAUUAAAAAAGUCUCCAAGGACAUUUUAUUCUCUAAGGAAACUGCAGGACGUUUAAAGCUUUUGCCUACAAAUUUAAAUAUACUAUAUUCAGAAAUAACAAAGGAAAUGUCUCUUCUUACAGGACUUCUGCUGCUGUUGUUAAAUGUUGUAAAGAGAAUUUUAGGAUAAAGGGAUGUUGUUCUAAGUGUCCUUGAAAAUAAACCUUAAAACUGUACAACCCUCAUGAAAAACAGCUAGGAUUGUCAAGCUUAGUGCUAUCAAAAACAGAUCAAGAGGAUUAAUACUGAUUUAUCGUUAGCAUCUUCCAUUUAAAAAAAAAAAGAAAAGAAGUGCCUUCAGAACAUAAAAUGUUAUUUUAGAGUCAAACUCUCAUGGGACAGAGAACAUGGGUUUUGAACUCCUAGACACAAAUAUAGCUUGAUUUUAUAUAUAUAUAUAAAGUUUUUAUGUAUGACUUUUAUGAUUUUGACUGACCACAGUUUACUAAUUUACUCAGGACUGACUGUAUGCUUGACCUUCCACAACAUGCAGAUAUCAAAAUAAUCUAUUCCCUACAGGCUUUACAAUUUGGAAGACAAACAUGAGUGAUAAGACCCACUAGGAAACCCAGAGGAUAAGUUCUUUGAAUUGUUGAUUUUGCUUUUUAUUUUGUUCUCGAGAUACAGAGAUACAAAACACUAAAAGUCUGUAGAGUCCUCUAAAAUUAGGCAAUAAGAAAUAUUAGAAAAGCUUUAUUUUUUUUUUACAGAGGGUGAAGUUCCUUAAUGGUCCUGCACAAUGUUUUUCAGAAGAAAGAUAAAAGUUAAUGAUGAUGCCUGUUUUAUUUCUAAGAUUAACAUUUUCUACAAUUUCAGCAGCAAUAUCAGUUUGUUUGCUGGGAAAAGAAAAAAUUAUUUUGCAAAAUUCUUAAAACUAUAUUGACAGUUGCAGGCCAACUGAUAUGUCCUGUCAUUUGGGAAUUUUAUCUGCCACAGAGAGAACAUAGACCAAAACUUAGUGCUGAGAAAUUGCCAUAUAAGCUUCAGCAAUGAUUGUGAAUAAUUUUGCUUGCUGCAGUUAUUUUUUGCAAGAGAAAUAUUACAUACAUUAUCUUUCACAUUUUUUUUGCAGCUGACAAUUGCCAAGGAUUCCAUUUUCCAUUGAUCACUCUAACCUUUUUUUACAUUGGGUAACAUUUCAAUUGCCAAAUCAUGUGCUCUCAAACUGCAAAUGCAAAUGAAGCAGCAACUAUACUGGCAAAAUACCGGAUUGUGCACACUCUGUGCAUAAAUAUAGGUUUGUCUGUACAUUUUAACUAACUUUAUUAUUCAGUUCUGUUCAGUUCUAACUAGAUAAUCACAAAAAUUUCUUUGAAAUCAAAGGGAUGACUAUAAUUCACUGAGAUGAAUGUCAUGUACUUUCUCUAAUAAUUUUAAUUUUUAACAUUAUGUCUGUAUCUGGUUCCAGCUCCUAAGACUUAUCACCUCUGUCUUUUUGUCCAUGAGAGUAUUGUUUCUGUUUCCUCUAGACAAGAUGAUUUCUUCCCCGCUGUGCCCCUCCACUCCAGCUAUUUUGCUAAUCUAUUUUUAGAAAUUCCAUUUAGUAAUUGGAACUUCUAAGAAGAAAUUUAAGUGAAAACUGAUAUUAAAGUAGAUCUUUUGCUGUAAGAUUUUUGUUAAAAUUAUAGUCUUUUUAUUAAAAACUGAAGAUAAAUAAUAAAUUAGUGGCAAUGUGCAUUAUAUCUAUGCAUACUAGAAAAAGCAUCUGUCUUUCUAUCAGAAAUCUACAGUCAAUCAGUUUUAUCAGCCAGGUGCUAGGCAAAGAAAUCCACAUGAAAUCAUGCAGAUUUUCGAGAGAAUUCCUCCUUUUCUGCUUCUUCAUUACUCUGAGGGAAAGAUAGAAAUCUGGUGCAAACAUUUUGUCUGCAUAACUUCAAAUGUUACUUUACAGCAAUGGAAUCUUAUCUUGCUUUAAAACUUCAAGGCAUUAUUCAACCUACAUGUUUUCAGUCUACAGCAAGGUGCUAUAAAUGAAAAUUUUCUCUCUUGACUUUCCACACAGAGUCUGCAGACUUCAUCAGAAAAUUAUGUUACUCAGUCUCUAAACUAUUUUUUAAAACUUUACAGGUGUGUAUAUGUGUAAAUUUGUGUGCCAAGUACAAAUGAAAUAGCUAUUUAAAUAGAAGAGCUAAGAAAAGAAGUCCUUAUGUCAUAGUGCAUUACCUUCAAAAUAAGUUUGCCAUUGACUUAAUGUAAAUUUCAGUAGAAAAGAUUUAGGGGCAAGCCUGUGACUGAUGUCAUUCAUUUCCUAUGAAACUUUGAUGAAAGAUUCUUUAAGGCAAAAAGUUGAGUGUCUUUUCCUGUUAUGGAUAUAAGCAAGAAGAGAAAAAGUACACACAUACAGAGACAUAUUUAUGAAAUGUAGUUAACUGUAGUAAACUACAGAAAGAAAUUAGGUCUGAAGAUUCAAAAAAUUUAACAUUUCCUGUGAUCAGCUAAAUUUAAUAGGAGUGACCAAGAUGCUUAAUGAUAAAUGAAGUUGGUCUCAUGGAACUUAAAGGACAGUGAUAUUUUAUCCAAAUACAUGUGCUUAUUCUUUCUGAACAAUAAGAAAUGCUGAGAGGAAAUAAACAUAUCUGCUGCUCUGAAAGCCUGAGCUAUUUCAAAGGUGAUACAGAAAAGGAAAAUAUAAAUGGAUAAAAGAAUGGUAGUCAUUGAAAAACAUAAUUCACCCAAAUCAAAACAAAUUGUGUAUACUCUGCUGACCUACAUUUAUGACUUCUGUCUUCAUUUUCCUAACUUGGAAUAUCAAAAAAAGCCUGAAAAUGCAGAAGCUUUGAAUCUGCUCUCUGUUGCCAUUUUUCCACCAAUUCUUGAGAUUUAUCAAGAGAUCUCUGAGGACAGUUCAUUGGCAACAAUAUUGACAAGCAAAACACCAGAAAACUCAAGACUUGAUUUGCUGUGGUUUUAAUCUAAUUUUAAAGAAAAAAAUCAUAUAUGACGGGAUAAGUAAAUACCAUUUUUAAUCUGGAGAAAGAUAGAUAUGAAGUUAGAGUCUUUUCUUUUACCAUAGAGAUUCUACAAGCAAUGAGCUCAGGCAUAGAUAUACGGCACACUAGCAUGAUAUGUUAACUAUCCCAGUUUAUAAACUCAUCCCACAGCAGGCAUGAGGUAACCUACUGUCACUGAGAUGCAGCCAAAACAAAGGCAUGACACUUAUAAAAGUCCACAAAUUAGGAUAUAAUUAAUACUAACUUGACUUGAACACAAGCAUGUAAUAUACACUAAUAUAGUGUAACUAAAAACUGUGUAUGUGUUUUGUAACACUGUGAAUAUUCUAUAAACUCAUACCAGAGCAAUGUGAACACCAAAAGAGAAAAUAAAGGUUAGAACAGAUGAAGAAAGAAAAGGUUCAAGGAACAAGAAGUUGCCACAGUAACAGACAAGUGCAUGGCACUACAAAUAGGCAGGCAUCCUGCUGAACACACAAGAGGUGGCUGGGAAGAGAGAUGAAAAGGGGAUAAGCAUUAUCAAAGCCAUAGCUAGAUGCAUAAAAGUAUCAGACCUAAGUGAGGAAACUAAAUAAGUAAACAAGAACCACUAUGGCCAUCAAUUCCAACUACAUGGUAUCAGAUCUCCAAAUUCACAUAUAAUUUAGUACAUAAAAGUGUUAAGAUCAACAACACCUUAAAUAU
Long non-coding RNA from Passer domesticus (house sparrow), 5878 nucleotides. RefSeq lists it as uncharacterized. The record is from RefSeq and is a predicted model, not a curated record. The transcript has 3 exons. Lineage: Eukaryota; Metazoa; Chordata; Aves; Passeriformes; Passeridae.